UAUGAAUGGUUUCAUUUUGUGUCUUAUUUGCUGUUCUUACAUUCUUUUUUCUUGCAGCCAAGAACUAAAGACUUUCUGUUAUAAGCCUAUAGAGAUUAAGAAUUUAAUUAAGAAGCAGCAGAACUUGUAGUUGGCACAACCCCCAGCAAACAUGGUAGAAAAAAACACCACUGAGCAGGAAAGCCAACUGCAACCAGCAACCAUCCCCAAAAAUGCAGUAUAAAAGAAACCUGGAGAGAAAAAUCUGGCACACUGGAGAGACCACUCAACCCUCAGGGGGAAUGCACAAAAAGUAACAGGCAAAUGCAGCUGAUAUGCAACAUGGGAAGAUAAACAUGAGCUUUCCCAUACACCUCUGGCAACUAUGCAAUUAUCUCAGGCUCCAUUGCUACUCAGACAAGGUUUUGCUGUGUUGCCCAGACUGGAGUGCAGUGGCCUGAUCACCACUCACUGCAGCCUCGACCUCCCAGGCUUGAGCGAUCCUCCCACCUCAGCCUCCUGAGUAGCUGGGACUACAGGCGUGCACCACCAUACCUGGCUAGUUUAUUAUUAUUUGUAGAAAAGGGGGUCUCCCUAUGUUGCCCAGGCUGGCCUCAAACUCCUGGGCUCAAGUGAUUUUCCUGCCUUGGCAUCUCCUGCCUUGCCAGGAUUAUAGGCAUGAGCUACCACACCUGGCCACUGUCUUAAGCCAGUAUAUCCAACACACACACACACACACACACACACACACACACACACACACACUCAUACAAUGAACAGGUUAAAUUCGAUGCUCAAAAAUACUAUUCUGAAUCAAUGAUGACAUUUUACUUUGUGAGGAGAGGAAACAGGAAAUGCUACAAUCUAAAGUGACACCAUUGUCCCAGCUGGGGUGGGAAUACAUGCAGAGUGAGAACAUCCAGGGGGAUCUAAGACUCUCUUCCUUCCGGCUUGGUAGAAUCACCUGGGUUUCUCAAAUCUUGGUGUUCUUAUAUUUGAUAUUUUUACCAAAAUCAAAGGGCUACUAUGAAUAUGAAAUGGGAUAUUUUAUGUAAAACACUUAGCACAGCUCCUGGUACAAUGGAUGUAAAAUAGCAUUGUAAAAAUCAAUUAUUAAGUAUAAAUAGCACUUCAAUGACACUGCACAAAUGCAGGACCCAAGUGUUGGAAAGAUAAAGCAAGUGAUGUAAGUUUGAUCAAGUUAUAUGGGGAAUUAUGUGUGGUAAUUAUACGAACAGGCGACAGAGAAAUACUAGGUAGAAGAGGGCAGUUCCUCGGCAAAGGCCCCACUCUCAAUCCCGGAUACCUGCAGCCCUAAAUAAGGACAGGCUAUCCUGUUUUUGUGCUAUAAAAGUUGCCUUUUGGCCAACCACACCCCCUAUCCUGUACCUAUAUCAACGAUGAACCCCAGGCCCUAGAGGGAGAUGAGGAGACAAGGAGACAAGCAAAUGAACAGCAGAACGGCGCAGCAGAGAAAGAGAAGGAGCGUCUGAGAACCAAAAGAAGUUCGGCUGGAGCAGUCAGAGAGGAGUUCGGCUGCUGGACAGCCAAACUCCAGGGGAAGAUCCCACUCCAUCCCCCUUCUAGCUCCCAUGCAUCCCACUGAGAGCCACCUCCACCACUCAAUAAAGCCCCGACAUUCACCACCCUUCAAGUCUGUGUGCGACUCGAUACUCCUGGGGACACUGGACAAGAGCUCAUGACACAGAAAAUGUCACACUGGCCCAUUACAGAAAAGCAGAGGGGGCACUGAGCUGGUUAACACUUAAGCAGUCUGUGGACAGCAGAGCUAAAAGAGCACUGUAACGCUGGGGUCACAGGCACCCACCAUUAGACACUACCAUGGGGCCAGACCCCAAAGCGCUUGCCCUGGCUCCCGCACCUGCUCAUCUGCAUGUUCCCGCUCCUGAAAGGGGUUUGAGCUCACAGUGGUGGUGUAGAGAGCCACACCCCUGUCACAGGCCCUGCAAGGGGAGCCAGGGAACUCUCCAGUUUCAGUAACAACACCCAUUAAUGCUAUAUAUUAGGUGUUAUAUAUCAGUUUUUACCCCAGAAGCAGAUCUCUAAUAUGCUCUCCAUUUCUCUUUCUCAUUACAAAAAUAAUGAAAAUUUCUGUGGUCAAUUAAAUAAAUAAUUCUGCUUGCAAAACUGUUAAACUAAGUUCUAGGGAAGUAAGAGCAACCCUAGGAAUGGACUGUAAGUAUGAAGACACUUUCUUUUUUACUUUGAGAAAAUCACCCUGCCAGUUUCUCAAUUUAUGUGUCUUCUCCUAUAGCAAUCGAAAUAUUUUAGCAGUUUUUGUUGUUGUUCUUGAAAAUCUAGGUUAAAAUUAGAUGGUUUCUCAAAUAGUUACAACUUACUAGAGGCCUUGAUUUCUCAGUGUAUUUCCUCCAAAAAACAAUGUUCUCAGAAUGAAAAUGUUAAUUCAAUCAUCAUUAGCAUCUGAGAUUCUUCCUUUACAAAAUCGGAGAGACGGUAUGUUGAAAGUACAUUGACCAGGUACAUCUCACUCUUUGUUGCUCAACAGGUAUCUCAGGGGGAAAAAAAGUAGUGGCAAAAGACCAGGUCGACAGAAACACUGAGAGAAAUCAUAUACCGAGGAAGUGCUCCAUUUCCUUUGUUCUUUAUGUGUUCUAUAAAUAUUUCAUGUAUUUGUUAAAGCUGUGUUAUUGCUGGAAGCCAGCCUUCUCCCUUGUUUAAUUCUUCUCCCAUCCUUGAAGCCUAGAAAUGUUUGAAAUAUAGAGUCUGCAUUCCUUGUACAUGUUUUGUUAAUAAACAACAUGUGAAAAUUAGGGAUAAAAACUUCUUAAAAGGAAGAGAAAGAAAAAUAACUAGGAUGACUGGCAAGAUAAAAGUCUCAACACCCUGGGGGUGACCUUGGGGCAAUGACAUUUAUCAAAAAUCUACGAAUUGAAAAUAUGAGUGGUUGGUUCAAAUGGGAAUGAGAGUCAGCUUUUUCUUCUCAUGGCUAUGUUUGCCUUCCUUGGCCCAUGUGGCAGGAAAGUCAGGCAGGUUUGAGGGGCUUUGUUAGAAAGCUGCCUGCGGGUGGUUCAUCGCCAGUUGUGUUUACUUCAGUGCUAAAAGGGUAUAUUUCCUGUUUAAAUAGUGUGCAACGUUGAGGUCAUGGGACCUCUAUUGGAAAUGUCAACAAAACCAUUUCACUCACUAACAUUUUAAACCCAGAAGCUGGAAUAAUGGAAGAAAUCAAUAAAUCAGAAAUAAACAUGGAAUUUUCUUCCUUUGGAGACCCUAAUGACCCUGCUGUUUCAAUCUCAUCUGGGUUGUGAAUUGAGCAGCAGUGGAAACGUUUGGGCUUUGGUAGACACACACUUCAGCUUCUCUUUUUUCCCUUAUGAACAUGACGAUCAGACUACUACCAUUAUUUUUCCUCUCAAAAUAAUAGUAUGUGUAUUCUAAAACGGCAUUAAUCAGUUGGAAAGGUGUGAUCUACUUCACAUGGGUAUAAAAACAGUGUAAUCCAAAUGUGGAUACCAAAA
RNAcentral lists this long non-coding RNA (3476 nucleotides) under Homo sapiens (human). RNAcentral's name for it is "HSALNT0077352". The record is from RNAcentral. Lineage: Eukaryota; Metazoa; Chordata; Mammalia; Primates; Hominidae.